Molecule: ribosomal RNA, 1331 nt
Filed under: uncultured bacterium
Lineage: Bacteria
Description: bacterial SSU rRNA
Rfam family: Bacterial small subunit ribosomal RNA
Source: RNAcentral
GAUAAGACAUGCAAGUCGAACGAGAGAAUUGCUAGCUUGCUAAUAAUUCUCUAGUGGCGCACGGGUGAGUAACACGUGAGUAACCUGCCCCCGAGAGCGGGAUAGCCCUGGGAAACUGGGAUUAAUACCGCAUAGUAUCGAAAGAUUAAAGCAGCAAUGCGCUUGGGGAUGGGCUCGCGGCCUAUUAGUUAGUUGGUGAGGUAACGGCUCACCAAGGCGAUGACGGGUAGCCGGUCUGAGAGGAUGUCCGGCCACACUGGAACUGAGACACGGUCCAGACACCUACGGGUGGCAGCAGUCGAGAAUCAUUCACAAUGGGGGAAACCCUGAUGGUGCGACGCCGCGUGGGGGAAUGAAGGUCUUCGGAUUGUAAACCCCUGUCAUGUGGGAGCAAAUUAAAAAGAUAGUACCACAAGAGGAAGAGACGGCUAACUCUGUGCCAGCAGCCGCGGUAAUACAGAGGUCUCAAGCGUUGUUCGGAAUCACUGGGCGUAAAGCGUGCGUAGGCUGUUUCGUAAGUCGUGUGUGAAAGGCGCGGGCUCAACCCGCGGACGGCACAUGAUACUGCGAGACUAGAGUAAUGGAGGGGGAACCGGAAUUCUCGGUGUAGCAGUGAAAUGCGUAGAUAUCGAGAGGAACACUCGUGGCGAAGGCGGGUUCCUGGACAUUAACUGACGCUGAGGCACGAAGGCCAGGGGAGCGAAAGGGAUUAGAUACCCCUGUAGUCCUGGCAGUAAACGGUGCACGCUUGGUGUGCGGGGAAUCGACCCCCUGCGUGCCGGAGCUAACGCGUUAAGCGUGCCGCCUGGGGAGUACGGUCGCAAGAUUAAAACUCAAAGAAAUUGACGGGGACCCGCACAAGCGGUGGAGUAUGUGGCUUAAUUCGAUGCAACGCGAAGAACCUUACCUGGGCUUGACAUGUAAUGAACAACAUGUGAAAGCAUGCGACUCUUCGGAGGCGUUACACAGGUGCUGCAUGGCCGUCGUCAGCUCGUGUCGUGAGAUGUUUGGUUAAGUCCAGCAACGAGCGCAACCCCUGUUGCCAGUUACCAGCACGUGAAGGUGGGGACUCUGGCGAGACUACCCAGAUCAACUGGGAGGAAGGUGGGGACGACGUCAGGUCAGUAUGGCCCUUAUGCCCAGGGCUGCACACGUACUACAAUGCCCAGUACAGAGGGGGCCGAAGCCGCGAGGCGGAGGAAAUCCUGAAAACUGGGCCCAGUUCGGACUGUAGGCUGCAACCCGCCUACACGAAGCCGGAAUCGCUAGUAAUGGCGCAUCAGCUACGGCGCCGUGAAUACGUUCCCGGGUCUUGCACUCACCGCCCGUCA